RNAcentral lists this ribosomal RNA (1123 nucleotides) under Latilactobacillus sakei. RNAcentral's name for it is "bacterial SSU rRNA". It matches the Rfam family "Bacterial small subunit ribosomal RNA", at positions 43 to 1126 of the family's 1533-position model. The record is from RNAcentral. Lineage: Bacteria; Bacillati; Bacillota; Bacilli; Lactobacillales; Lactobacillaceae.
CCCGGCCUAUACAUGCAAGUCGAACGCACUCUCGUUUAGAUUGAAGGAGCUUGCUCCUGAUUGAUAAACAUUUGAGUGAGUGGCGGACGGGUGAGUAACACGUGGGUAACCUGCCCUAAAGUGGGGGAUAACAUUUGGAAACAGAUGCUAAUACCGCAUAAAACCUAACACCGCAUGGUGUAGGGUUGAAAGAUGGUUUCGGCUAUCACUUUAGGAUGGACCCGCGGUGCAUUAGUUAGUUGGUGAGGUAAAGGCUCACCAAGACCGUGAUGCAUAGCCGACCUGAGAGGGUAAUCGGCCACACUGGGACUGAGACACGGCCCAGACUCCUACGGGAGGCAGCAGUAGGGAAUCUUCCACAAUGGACGAAAGUCUGAUGGAGCAACGCCGCGUGAGUGAAGAAGGUUUUCGGAUCGUAAAACUCUGUUGUUGGAGAAGAAUGUAUCUGAUAGUAACUGAUCAGGUAGUGACGGUAUCCAACCAGAAAGCCACGGCUAACUACGUGCCAGCAGCCGCGGUAAUACGUAGGUGGCAAGCGUUGUCCGGAUUUAUUGGGCGUAAAGCGAGCGCAGGCGGUUUCUUAAGUCUGAUGUGAAAGCCUUCGGCUCAACCGAAGAAGUGCAUCGGAAACUGGGAAACUUGAGUGCAGAAGAGGACAGUGGAACUCCAUGUGUAGCGGUGAAAUGCGUAGAUAUAUGGAAGAACACCAGUGGCGAAGGCGGCUGUCUGGUCUGUAACUGACGCUGAGGCUCGAAAGCAUGGGUAGCAAACAGGAUUAGAUACCCUGGUAGUCCAUGCCGUAAACGAUGAGUGCUAGGUGUUGGAGGGUUUCCGCCCUUCAGUGCCGCAGCUAACGCAUUAAGCACUCCGCCUGGGGAGUACGACCGCAAGGUUGAAACUCAAAGGAAUUGACGGGGGCCCGCACAAGCGGUGGAGCAUGUGGUUUAAUUCGAAGCAACGCGAAGAACCUUACCAGGUCUUGACAUCCUUUGACCACUCUAGAGAUAGAGCUUUCCCUUCGGGGACAAAGUGACAGGUGGUGCAUGGUUGUCGUCAGCUCGUGUCGUGAAAUGUUGGGUUAAGUCCCGCAACGAGCCAACCCUUAUUACUAGUGCCAGCAUUA